RNAcentral lists this ribosomal RNA (468 nucleotides) under uncultured bacterium. Its description in RNAcentral is "partial 16S ribosomal RNA". It matches the Rfam family "Bacterial small subunit ribosomal RNA", at positions 28 to 507 of the family's 1533-position model. The record is from RNAcentral.
GACGAACGCUGGCGGCGUGCUUAACACAUGCAAGUCGAACGGAUAUUCUCUGCUCUUGUCGUGUUCUCGCGUGGCGAACGGAUUAGCAAAACGUUAGUUACCUCCCCUUUACCCUGCGCUUCCUUCAGGAAAAUGGGGUUAAUACCGGUUCUGAUCUCCUGUUGUUUGGUUUUGGUCGUAAUGUUUCGGCGGUUGGGGCUGUUUUCGCGGGUUUUCAGCUUGCUGGUGGGGUUGUGGUUUAUCAAGGCUUUGCCGGGUAGCCGGCCUGAGAGGGUGACCGGCCACAGUGGGACUGAGAUACGGCCCAGACGGCUGCGGGAGGCAGCAGUGGGGAAUAUUGCAAAAUGGGCGGAAGCCGUAUGCAGCGACGCCGCGUGCGGGAUGACGGCCUUCGGGUUGUAAACCGCUUUCGCCUGGGACGAAGCGUGAGUGACGGUAAUGGGUAAAGAAGCACCGGCUAACUACGUG